AGAGUUUGAUCAUGGCUCAGAUUGAACGCUGGCGGCAGGCCUAACACAUGCAAGUCGAACGGUAACAGGAAGCAGCUUGCUGCUUCGCUGACGAGUGGCGGACGGGUGAGUAAUGUCUGGGAAGCUGCCUGAUGGAGGGGGAUAACUACUGGAAACGGUAGCUAAUACCGCAUAAUGUCGCAAGACCAAAGAGGGGGACCUUCGGGCUUCUUGCCAUCGGAUGUGCCCAGAUGGGAUUAGCUUGUUGGUGGGGUAACGGCUCACCAAGGCGACGAUCCCUAGCUGGUCUGAGAGGAUGACCAGCCACACUGGAACUGAGACACGGUCCAGACUCCUACGGGAGGCAGCAGUGGGGAAUAUUGCACAAUGGGCGCAAGCCUGAUGCAGCCAUGCCGCGUGUAUGAAGAAGGCCUUCGGGUUGUAAAGUACUUUCGGCGGGGAGGAAGGGAGUAAAGUUAAUACCUUUGCUCAUUGACGUUACCCGCAGAAGAAGCACCGGCUAACUCCGUGCCAGCAGCCGCGGUAAUACGGAGGGUGCAAGCGUUAAUCGGAAUUACUGGGCGUAAAGCGCACGCAGGCGGUUUGUUAAGUCAGAUGUGAAAUCCCCGGGCUCAACCUGGGAACUGCAUCUGAUACUGGCAAGCUUGAGUCUCGUAGAGGGGGGUAGAAUUCCAGGUGUAGCGGUGAAAUGCGUAGAGAUCUGGAGGAAUACCGGUGGCGAAGGCGGCCCCCUGGACGAAGACUGACGCUCAGGUGCGAAAGCGUGGGGAGCAAACAGGAUUAGAUACCCUGGUAGUCCACGCCGUAAACGAUGUCGACUUGGAGGUUGUGCCCUUGAGGCGUGGCUUCCGGAGCUAACGCGUUAAGUCGACCGCCUGGGGAGUACGGCCGCAAGGUUAAAACUCAAAUGAAUUGACGGGGGCCCGCACAAGCGGUGGAGCAUGUGGUUUAAUUCGAUGCAACGCGAAGAACCUUACCUGGUCUUGACAUCCACGGAAGUUUUCAGAGAUGAGAAUGUGCCUUCGGGAACCGUGAGACAGGUGCUGCAUGGCUGUCGUCAGCUCGUGUUGUGAAAUGUUGGGUUAAGUCCCGCAACGAGCGCAACCCUUAUCCUUUGUUGCCAGCGGUCCGGCCGGGAACUCAAAGGAGACUGCCAGUGAUAAACUGGAGGAAGGUGGGGAUGACGUCAAGUCAUCAUGGCCCUUACGACCAGGGCUACACACGUGCUACAAUGGCGCAUACAAAGAGAAGCGACCUCGCGAGAGCAAGCGGACCUCAUAAAGUGCGUCGUAGUCCGGAUUGGAGUCUGCAACUCGACUCCAUGAAGUCGGAAUCGCUAGUAAUCGUGGAUCAGAAUGCCACGGUGAAUACGUUCCCGGGCCUUGUACACACCGCCCGUCACACCAUGGGAGUGGGUUGCAAAAGAAGUAGGUAGCUUAACCUUCGGGAGGGCGCUUACCACUUUGUGAUUCAUGACUGGGGUGAAGUCGGAACAAGGUAACCGUAGGGGAACCUGCGGUUG
This 1522-nucleotide ribosomal RNA is filed under the name metagenome. Its description in RNAcentral is "bacterial SSU rRNA". It matches the Rfam family "Bacterial small subunit ribosomal RNA". The record is from RNAcentral.